AACGCACAUUGCGCCCGCCAGUAUUCUGGCGGGCAUGCCUGUUCGAGCGUCAUUUCAACCAUCAAGCCCCGGCGCUUGUGUUGGGGACCCGCGGCUGCCGCGGGCCCUUAAAGACAGUGGCGGUCUCGCUGCAGCACCGAGCGUAGUAAACAUACACAUCUCGCUCCGGGAGCUGCGCGUGCAACCCGCCGUAAAACCCCCCACCUCUCACAAGGUUGACCUCGGAUCAGGUAGGAAUACCCGCUGAACUUAA
Molecule: unclassified non-coding RNA, 253 nt
Filed under: uncultured Cladorrhinum
Lineage: Eukaryota; Fungi; Ascomycota; Sordariomycetes; Sordariales; Lasiosphaeriaceae
Description: sequence contains ITS2
Rfam family: 5.8S ribosomal RNA (bases 1-52)
Source: RNAcentral